CCACCCGUCGUCCGCGCCCACCUCACUCCCCCCUUGCGUCUCCUCCAUGGGAGUCUUGCCAUGGAGCUGCCGCUGUGGACUCAACCCCACCCCCAGCAAGAACAGGGGUGCGCCCGCGCGUCCUCCUCCUCCUCCUCCUGCUGCCCGAGUAAGGAGGUCCAAAUACACGGGACAAUCUGUGAGAGCAAUGCCUAUGCGCGUGCUGACAGUUGGCAAGAAGAGGUCUCAGGGGACACAACUUCUUGUUGAAGAGUACAAGGAGAAACUCGGUCACUACUGCGAUGUUGAGGACACCCUCAUCAAAUCCAACCCAAAACUCACAAGCGAUGUUAAGGUGCAAAUUGAAGCAGAAGAUGCGUCUAUGAUGCAGCAGCUCAAGGCUGAAGAUUUUGUUGUUGUGUUGGAUGAAAACGGGAAGGAUGUCAUGUCUGAGCAGAUAGCUGAUCUGAUUGGGGAUGCUGGCAACACGGGAUCGUCAAGGCUCACAUUUUGUAUUGGCGGGCCAUAUGGUCUUGGAAUACAAGUACGAGAGCGGGCGGAUGCAACAAUUAGGUUAUCCUCACUGGUUUUGAACCACCAAGUCGCUUUAAUAGUUCUAAUGGAGCAGCUCUACAGGUGAACAACGAGCCUCUGCAACGCAGUGAUGCCAUUCCUGCGUUUGAACAUACUUUCUUAAUUUUCCACGUCAACUCUAGUGAUAUGGCAUGUAGAAUCAAUGCAUCGUCAGUGUAACACAGGGCGUGGACAAUCAUCAAAGGACAAAAGUAUCAUCACUAGAUUUGAGUUGCAAUGGCAUCAUCUGCUGCUCUUUGCAUGCGCGGCCUCCCAAUUCCACCACCUGAUCCGCUGUAGGCAGUUUUUUGCUUCUCCGGUUUUUUGUUAGACUAGUAAACAUGUACGUGCAAUGCACGUCUUUACCAACAUAUAUUUUGUAAUUUAACGUGUCAUAAUGCAAGAAUAAAAUUUAUACACCAUUUCA
Triticum dicoccoides is the source of this 979-nucleotide RNA transcript. It is a transcript of the gene named putative RNA methyltransferase At5g10620, with no coding region annotated. The transcript has 7 exons. NCBI's taxonomy places the organism in Eukaryota, Viridiplantae, Streptophyta, Magnoliopsida, Poales, Poaceae. The record is from RefSeq and is a predicted model, not a curated record.